Bos taurus (domestic cattle) is the source of this 505-nucleotide long non-coding RNA. The record is from Ensembl. Lineage: Eukaryota; Metazoa; Chordata; Mammalia; Artiodactyla; Bovidae.
GUAGGAAAGGGUGGGGGGCUGGGAGUGGAGAGGGCGGGGUCGGCUGCCCUCCGAAGGCUUUACAAAGCGUGCGCACCAGCCCCGGGCUGUGGUCGGCAAGAUCGUGAGCCACCACUGCCAAGGUGCCUCCAGCGUCCCCAGGUUGCGUAACCAUCCAGAAACACACGAUAAGAGUCCUCUUUCAGCAAAUAUUCUUGAUUAAGUCAUGAAAAUGGAAUUGGAGCUUAUUUUUCCCCUUUGUAUGGUCUACACGUGUUGAUCUUGUGCCGUGUCUACUCCUGCUUCCCUCAGCACCUCGAAGACGGACGGACAGCAAUGGUUUAGCAGAUUUCAUCUGCAGCAAGGAUAUCGGCUUACUCAGCGUCCCUAGAACCUACUACAGUAACUAGAAUUUCAGAGGCAUCCUAUUUUUAAGAAUCUAAACACUCAAAAUUUGGUGUUUUGGUUGUUCUACUCAUGCUUUAAAACUCUGAAAUAAGAAUUUUAUACAUAUAUAUAUAUAUAU